Long non-coding RNA from Megalobrama amblycephala (Wuchang bream), 743 nucleotides. RefSeq lists it as uncharacterized. The transcript has 3 exons. The record is from RefSeq and is a predicted model, not a curated record. Lineage: Eukaryota; Metazoa; Chordata; Actinopteri; Cypriniformes; Xenocyprididae.
UAUAUGAAUCAGUAGUGCUCAUAAACAGCUUUUUACCCGGAAACAUCAUUCCUUAUACAGCAACACUUAACAAGAAGAUUGGCUUACAGUUUAAUAGGAAGUGACAAAUCCAACAUACAAGUACUUUGCUACCCUAAUAUCUAAAUGUUGAUCAUGAUUACAAUUAUUAAAUUUAAAAGUAGCUAUCUUUGGGACAACAGAUAAAAACUGAACAUUAAAGACAAAUCUAAAAAGAAAUCUAUGCAUUGGCAAUGUUUCCUUUUACUAUCAUUUUACCAUGUUGUCUCCAAUAAAUGUGACUUCUUAAAUUUCUGUUCUCAUAAAAUGUUAAAGCAGGAUUUCAGUUGAAAUGUAAUAUUUGAUGAUCGCUAACAUAUUUUCUCCUUACACAGAAUCCGAUUGACCAACGCAGUUGCCAACAAGAAGCUGCUUUCACCAAUGAGAAACCUGAAACAAACCUUGGACACGCCCAUUACUCCGAGCUGCAGCGCUCCGUUUGCGUUCAGUUUCAGUCAGCGUCGAUCUUCUGAGAUCAACUUAAUUACUUUACAUUAUUAAACUGGAACAGAGACUGCUUAAAUACAUCGAGCCUGUAAUGAGUCAGCUCCUCCCAGGACAUGUUUCAUCAGUGAAGCUCCUCCCACAUCACUCACAUCGUCAGUGAAGCUCCUCCCACAGCAGUUCUCCAAUAAAUGCUGGAAUAUUCCCAUCAGACGAGCAUCAGAGCAUCAGGAAGAGCUGAA